UCUGGCUCAGGAUAAACGCUGGCGGCGUGCUUAACACAUGCAAGUCGAACGGAGUACUUCUCCCGAGACCGAGGAAGCUUGCUUCCAAAGAAUCAUUGAAGUACUUAGUGGCGGACGGGUGAGUAACGCGUGGGUAACCUGCCUCACACAGGGGGAUAACAGUUGGAAACGACUGUUAAUACCGCAUAAGCGCACAGUAUCGCAUGGUACAGUGUGAAAAACUCCGGUGGUGUGAGAUGGACCCGCGUCUGAUUAGCUAGUUGGUGAGGUAACGGCCCACCAAGGCGACGAUCAGUAGCCGGCCUGAGAGGGUGUACGGCCACAUUGGGACUGAGACACGGCCCAAACUCCUACGGGAGGCAGCAGUGGGGAAUAUUGCACAAUGGGGGAAACCCUGAUGCAGCGAACCGCCGCGUGAGCGAUGAAGUAUUUCGGUAUGUAAAGCUCUAUCAGCAGGGAAGAUAAUGACGGUACCUGACUAAGAAGCACCGGCUAAAUACGUGCCAGCCGCCGC
Molecule: ribosomal RNA, 514 nt
Filed under: uncultured bacterium
Lineage: Bacteria
Description: bacterial SSU rRNA
Rfam family: Bacterial small subunit ribosomal RNA
Source: RNAcentral